GACGGAUGGGCAUGCGUGACAUUAGCUAGUCGGCGGGGUAACGGCCCACCGAGGCGACGAUGUCUAGGGGUUCUGAGAGGAAGGUCCCCCACACUGGUACUGAGACACGGACCAGACUCCUACGGGAGGCAGCAGUGAGGAAUAUUGGUCAAUGGGCUUACGCCUGAACCAGCCAAGUCGCGUGAGGGAAGACUGCCCUAUGGGUUGUAAACCUCUUUUGUCAGGGAGCAACGCCGGCUACGUGUAGCCGGACUGAGAGUACCUGAAGAAAAAGCAUCGGCUAACUCCGUGCCAGCAGCCGCGGUAAUACGGAGGAUGCGAGCGUUAUCCGGAUUUAUUGGGUUUAAAGGGUGCGUAGGCGGAAUGCCAAGUCAGCGGUAAAAUCGCGGGGCUCAACCUCGCUCCGCCGUUGAAACUGGCGUUCUUGAGUGGGCGAGAAGUAUGCGGAAUGCGUGGUGUAGCGGUGAAAUGCAUAGAUAUCACGCAGAACUCCGAUUGCGAAGGCAGCAUACCGGCGCCCAACUGACGCUGAAGCACGAAAGCGUGGGUAUCGAACAGGAUUAGAUACCCUGGUAGUCCACGCAGUAAACGAUGAAUACUAGCUGUUCGGGGCAAAUGAGCCUUGAGUGGC
RNAcentral lists this ribosomal RNA (631 nucleotides) under uncultured bacterium. Its description in RNAcentral is "bacterial SSU rRNA". It matches the Rfam family "Bacterial small subunit ribosomal RNA", at positions 220 to 847 of the family's 1533-position model. The record is from RNAcentral.